This 539-nucleotide ribosomal RNA is filed under the name uncultured bacterium. Its description in RNAcentral is "bacterial SSU rRNA". It matches the Rfam family "Bacterial small subunit ribosomal RNA", at positions 56 to 614 of the family's 1533-position model. The record is from RNAcentral.
UGCAAGUCGAACGAUGAUAGAGGGCUUGCUUUUCUUGAUUAGUGGCGCACGGAUGAGUAAUGCAUAGAUAAUGUGCCCCUUAGUUCAGGAUAGCCACUGGAAACGGUGAUUAAUACCGGAUACUCCUUCUUGUUAUAAGACAAGUCGGGAAAGUUUUUCGCUAAGGGAUCAGUCUAUGUUCCAUCAGCUUGUUGGUGAGGUAAUGGCUCACCAAGGCUAUGGCGGAUAUCUGGUUUGAGAGGAUGAUCAGACACACUGGAACUGAGACACGGUCCAGACUCCUACGGGAGGCAGCAGUGAGGAAUAUUGCACAAUGGAGGAAACUCUGAUGCAGCAACGCCGCGUGGAGGAUGACGCAUUUCGGUGUGUAAACUCCUUUUAUUAGGGAAGAUAAUGACGGUACCUAAUGAAUAAGCACCGGCUGACUCCGUGCCAGCAGCCGCGGUAAUACGGAGGGUGCAAGCGUUACUCGGAAUCACUGGGCGUAAAGGGUGCGUAGGCUGGCUUUUAAGUCAGAUGUGAAAUCCAAUGGCUCAACC